AUUGAACGCUGGCGGCAGGCCUAACACAUGCAAGUCGAGCGGAUGAAGGGAGCUUGCUCCUGGAUUCAGCGGUGGACGGGUGAGUAAUGCCUAGGAAUCUGCCUGGUAGUGGGGGAUAACGUCCGGAAACGGGCGCUAAUACCGCAUACGUCCUGAGGGAGAAAGUGGGGGAUCUUCGGACCUCACGCUAUCAGAUGAGCCUAGGUCGGAUUAGCUAGUUGGUGGGGUAAAGGCCUACCAAGGCGACGAUCCGUAACUGGUCUGAGAGGAUGAUCAGUCACACUAGAACUGAGACACGGUCCAGACUCCUACGGGAGGCAGCAGUGGGGAAUAUUGGACAAUGGGCGAAAGCCUGAUCCAGCCAUGCCGCGUGUGUGAAGAAGGUCUUCGGAUUGUAAAGCACUUUAAGUUGGGAGGAAGGGCAGUAAGUUAAUACCUUGCUGUUUUGACGUUACCAACAGAAUAAGCACCGGCUAACUUCGUG
RNAcentral lists this ribosomal RNA (484 nucleotides) under uncultured bacterium. Its description in RNAcentral is "partial 16S ribosomal RNA". It matches the Rfam family "Bacterial small subunit ribosomal RNA", at positions 30 to 507 of the family's 1533-position model. The record is from RNAcentral.